This 5456-nucleotide long non-coding RNA is filed under the name Daucus carota (carrot). Its description in RNAcentral is "long non-coding RNA (DCAR_LNC001873)". Lineage: Eukaryota; Viridiplantae; Streptophyta; Magnoliopsida; Apiales; Apiaceae. The record is from RNAcentral.
CAAAGAAGUCACGAGGACUCCCUUCUUCGAUCCCGUCCGGUAUUCCAAUAAAGGAGAUCUCAUUCCACCUGUCGAUUUGAUGUGAUAUCGAACGAUGAAUAAACUCUGUGGUGAUGACUACAGGUUCGAAACCCUGACGAGCGAGAAGCGAAGCUAAUUUGAUUAUGGGAGUGACAUGCCCUUGUGCCGGAUAAGGAACUAAAAUGAUUUUUGGUCUGUUUUGGUUAGUCAUAGAUUGUUGCUUUUUACGUAGAAGCAACUCUGUUUUACAUGGGAGAGGAAUGGGACUUGGUUUAUUCUUAAUUUAUAGGACUCAUGAUCAGAGGAAAAGGGAAAGGAUAAAUAAUUAAAUGUGAAAUUGUAAAUCCAUGUUCUUAUUGAGGGGCAUAACUGUUUGUUUGGCUGGUUACAGUUGCAAAUAGUUAUAUAUACAGUUGCGCAUAGGGGGAAAUUUGUUCCAACCAUCAACUUAGAGCAAAUACACAAUGUCCUAGCAAAUGCCUUAUAAAUAUAAUAAAAUAAUGUGUCGUAGUGAUUUAGGACAUCAUCUUAAUAUAUUAACUCCAACAACAUGCCUCAUUAUUGUGCCUUAUUAUUAAAAUAUUAAUAUAUUUGAAUUGUUAUUGAAGGGAAAUGAAAAGGAGAGAGGAGAGAGAUGUAGUGGAAUGGUAGGAUACUAUUUUUUUUAUUGAAUAAGGCAUGCAUAGUGGUGCCUCAAAAAUAAAGCAUUUGUUACAUGUCCUAGUGUUUUAAGGCACCACUAAGAUAUUGUUGGAGCAUCGAUUUGCUUCACAUACCUUAAAUUUUGAUUUAGGACGUCAAUACAGGGCACUCUUGGAUUUGCUCUUACUUUUCAGUGACAUGUCUAGAAGGUGCUACUAAAAAUUCUAAGUAUCUCCAACUGAUCUAUAUAUAGUAUAUUAUAUUAUUUUUCAUUAAAUAUGCGGGAUAGGAUCCUUAAAUUUACAUUACCUUUUCUAGGAUAACGUAUAGUUAAAAUCAUUAUUUAAAAAAUAAUAAUAAUUUUAACUAAACGGUCAAAAGAGUUAAAAAUGUGCGCCAAAAAAUCAAGCGACUUGAGUGUAUUUUACAUUCAAUCAAGUGGACUUGCCCUAUCAUAAUUCCCACUGCAUAGGGCAAUGCUAGAGACCCCAAAUUUUUUUUCCAAAAUUUGUUACCAAAUGACAUGGAUAAUAAGUGGCGAAAUUUGAUUGGGUGAUUGAUGAAUCUGCAGGGGGGCCUCAUUAUUAUGGGAAUGAAUGCAACCAAUGAAAUUUCGUCACAUCAUUUGGGAAAAAAAUUUGGGAUAAAUAUUUGGGGUCCCUAGCAUUUUCCCACUGCAUAUUCGUCCGACUAAUUGCAAACCCUUUUGUUUGGCGACUGUUUCGCGGAUAUUGUGAAAACUAAAAUCUACAAAAUGAUUAAAGAAACAUAAACUAAAUAUGUGAUAAUUGAAACAUUCAAGGCUGCAGCUGCAAAGCCAUACCAUGCAUUUAACACGGCGCAAUAUUUAACUCCUGCACAUGUGACAUAAAAGAUAUGACCGGAUAUAACUGUAGAACCCACUGACAGCGCAAUGUUCGUUGUUAGUUGUACUGUAACUUGUAAGCCUAUCAUGGAAUAAUAAUUUGGUCAAUUCUAAAUUACACAUAUUGAUUUGUGCGUGGCUGCGUGCGAGCAUGUAUGCAAAACUAUUAUUGUGCAGCCGGUAGGUAAGGUGGUGUUAUUACCGUGUUUAAUUAGCGCAGCAAGGAGGGGUGAGAGAGGGAGUUGGGGAUUCUUCCGCCCGAUUCCUCUCUGGUUACUUUUCCGGUUCCUGUCGAAAAAUCGAGGAAUAGCGAAGUAAAAUCAAACGGCCAGUGAAUAUAAAUAUUUUUUUUUGAAUAUCAUAUUUUAUUUUCAGGAUUCCAUGAAAAUUAUAUAUUUAAUAUAUUUUUAUGUUUCAUUCAGAUUAUUCACAACCUCCUCUUCCUCUUUUAAGGUAACUGCUCAUCAUUUGGCCACUUAUAAAAAUAUUGUUAUUUAUUUAACAUAAACUUAUUUUCCAGAUAUCUUGACCAAGUCAAAACCACAACUAACACAACUAAAUUUUCAUAUAGCAGCGGAGCGGGGUGGAAUUAUAUUAAAUCCGCAAUCGAGCGGGAUGGGAUUAAAAAUAUAUCCCCGUGAGGAAUGACACGAGGACGGGACAAGGAAAAAUAUAUAUGAGGUGGGGAUAGGGAAAUGAAAUCCCCGUCCCGAACCCGCCGCGUCCCGAACCCGCCGCCCCAUUUUUAACCCUAGUUUUGAAAGAGGACUAAUUUGAAACGAAUAGUAUGUAACAGCCCAGUUUUGUAUAAUUAGAUUUCGAUCAGUGUUAUCUUAAAUGUAUAACUUUGUAUCCAUAUUUCUCUGCAAAAUUCAUGUUAUAAGUUUGGGCCAACAGCAAGAAACGUCACAAAUUAAACAGAAACGUGACUUUGUCACCUUGUGCGCAAAUAGAAGGAUAGGGUGUUGGGUUGUGCGAGCAGGAUAAAACGGCUGGGACAGAACAUCAAGGCUGCAUUAUUUUAUCAUUUUUUGUCUUGUGCUGAGAUGCUAAUGCUGAAGUGCCACUUGAACAAAACGGCAAGCCAAUAGUUGGGUUUAAAGUUUCGGCGGUGCAUUGCAUCCUACACUUUCCACUUAUAUAUUCUGGUGAUAAGCAUCAGAUGCCUCCAAAAUGUCGGCAUGGCUGCAAAUGUUUAAUUUUUUUGACAUGAUUUGUUAUAAAAUUUAGUCAUUAUAUCGCUCAUAUACUUUCUAAUAUGCAUAUUGGAUGUUAUAUGGCCAACUCCUUAAUCCACUACAUAUUUGAUGUUAUCAUAAUAUGAAAUUUAAAACAUGCAAUCAACUUGAACAAAUUUACUGCAGCUUACAGAACCAAAAUUUGUUUAUAGGACCAACUUUAAUUUUACGAAAAGGCAUAAACCAACUUAAGUGUUACAGAACUGCAUUUCAGCAUCACCACCAUCAGCAUCGUCCCCGCCUAUGUCAUUCUCAGAAAUUUCACCAUAAGUACUGUCUUUGUUUGCAUCUUCUAUUUAUUUCCUGCAUCAACCACAAAAUGAGUUUAUAUAUAGCUAUUAUUAAGUUUACCAAAAUUAACACCUGUUCCUUAAGAGUUAAGACCAAAUUCUGAUAUCAUUUAUAGGACCUGUUAGAUGAACCUAACUUCGCAAUAGUAUAAUAUAAUCCGUUUCGGAGGAGCCGGCUUUGUACAUGGCAUCUCUCCAAAAAACCUAUAUUCUAUCCAUCUACCCCUCCCACAACGUGGGACAACUCCUAAAAAUAAUUGCAUGUCAAACUGGGAUGUAGUUGGAUAUCAUUGUCCUCCAUGUCAAUGGUAAAUUUGGAGAUGUGAUUGUAUAGAUGAAAAUUUGUUUGCACCUGAUUCUGUGUUUAGUACUUCCUCUCCCGGAUAUAAUCAAAGAGGGAAAUUGAAAGUCAAUAAUUAAUACGUGGCUGUCAUUAACUUGGAGCAAUUAAAAUGCGAAAUAAUUAUGGUUGUGAGUUGUAUACGAUAUUUUACGACAAAUAGGGAAUCGGGUCGGAUUUUUUAUCCAUAUCCGAACUCGACCCGAUGUGUAAAAAUAGUGCUUCAAUAAGAUCUUUAAAAAUAUAAGCGGCUCAUCUCUCUCCUCUCUUUUAAAGAAUAUCUAGGUACUCUUGACUUGUGAGUAUACUACGCACACGAAAUUCAACUUGUGAGUAAAUGAAUACUCAUGGCCGGUUGCUGUGAGGGGGAAUUUAAAGAGUUGAUAGGUCUUAUUAGGGAUGUGUUGCGUGAAGAGCAUAAACUAUUGUCAAAUUAUCAAGAAAUCUAGAAGACUUUUAGAGACUUAAACUCGGAUCCAAAAAUUCAUGCAUAGCAGAAUGAUUGCAUGUUGUUUUAUGAUGAUUAUAGUGACAUGCAGUGAUAGCCGUAGAGAAAUUCAGGUUAAAUCCGUAGCGGUCAUGGUGAUUUUUAUUUAUCAUAUCUUUCUCCUUUUGGCUCCUUAAAUCGAUCUGUUCAUUCUCCGCUAGCUGGCUUGCAAGGUGGAAGGGAGCCCGAUGAUUUGAUGACUCGUCCUGUCUACUAAGACAUGUAGGUGAUGGUCAUGGAUUUAGAAUAAAUUUUAAUAAAUUUUGUUGGUGGCGUUUGGCCAAGAUUUAAAAGUCCAGCUUCUAAGUUAGAAGCACUUAUUCGUGCAAACAUAAAAAGUUAAAGAAGUACGUAAAAGAAGUUAAGAAUACUGGCUGUUUAUGCUGUAAUUUUAGGGUUAAGUGCUAAAGAAUAUCAACUAAGAACAAUAAAGUAAAACACGAGAAAUUGGUUACGCGGAAAACCCUUGUGAGGUAAAAACCGCGGGAGGGUUCGGAACCCUGCCAGAAAGAUGUUCACUAAGUAAAUUGUUACAAGAGUUUGUAGUGUAUUGUGUCCUCUCUAUCUAUUAUUCUGUCCUAUUUAUAAUACAAUUUCUACAACUGAAUUCUAACGUUACUCUAAUCAUCCUUAUCCUCCCAUAACAGAUCGUGCGAUGCGCCCUGCCUAUCUCCACUCCUGCUUUGACCCGUUAUUCUCUCUGAUCAGUUAAUAUUUCGAAACUCCCUUAUCCAGUCUUCAGGUUUAAGUAUCAUGUCCUGUCUCUGGUGUCAUGUCAUCUUGUCAUGUCGAACGACGUGUCAAUUGAGAAUAAUUGGGUAAUAACACGAAUGAUCAGAACGAGAAUUCUUGGAAGUCGGAUGAAAAUAACAAUUGUAUUUGCGAUGAUUAACAUGUUAAAGAACAGAAAGUCACCUGAAUCAGAAAUAAACCCGGUUCGGAUCAUGUCAGGUAUGGCUUUGAUCAAAUGAUAUAUUUCGACCAUAGCGGGCCAAAAUCCCGCUACUGGUAUCCCCCUUUGCCUGCCAACUUUAAUAGCCCAUGAAGCCAACAAAUCUACCAUCAAACAUGCAAUUACACCCCCACCUUGUUCCUCCUCUGCUCGAGACUUCACAAGUAUUCUUUCCAGAGACGCGGGCAUAACGUUUUCCAUAGCUCUUUCCGUGGCAAAGAAGUCACGAGGACUCCCUUCUUCGAUCCCGUCCGGUAUUCCAAUAAAGGAGAUCUCAUUCCACCUGUCGAUUUGAUGUGAUAUCGAACGAUGAAUAAACUCUGUGGUGAUGACUACAGGUUCGAAACCCUGACGAGCGAGAAGCGAAGCUAAUUUGAUUAUGGGAGUGACAUGCCCUUGUGCCGGAUAAGGAACUAAAAUGAUUUUUGGUCUGUUUUGGUUAGUCAUAGAUUGUUGCUUUUUACGUAGAAGCAACUCUGUUUUACAUGGGAGAGGAAUGGGACUUGGUUUAUUCUUAAUUUAUAGGACUCAUGAUCAGAGGAAAAGGGAAAGGAUAAAUAAUUAAAUGUGAAAUUGUAAAUCCAUGUUCUUAUUGAGGGGCAUAACUGUUUGUUUGGCUGG